This 509-nucleotide ribosomal RNA is filed under the name uncultured bacterium. RNAcentral describes it as "bacterial LSU rRNA". It matches the Rfam family "Bacterial large subunit ribosomal RNA", at positions 170 to 725 of the family's 2925-position model. The record is from RNAcentral.
GUGCAAGAGGCGAACCAGGGGAACUGAAACAUCUAAGUACCCUGAGGAAAAAGAAAUCAACCGAGAUUCCCUUAGUAGUGGCGAGCGAACGGGGAUUAGCCCUUAAGUUGGUUUUGAGGUUAGUAAAAGGCUCUGGAAAGUGCCGCCAUAGUGGGUGAUAGCCCCGUAUACGAAAACCUCUUAUCAAUGAAAUCGAGUAGGACGGCGCACGUGAAACGUUGUCUGAAUAUGGGGGGACCAUCCUCCAAGGCUAAAUACUACUGACUGACCGAUAGUGAACCAGUACCGUGAGGGAAAGGCGAAAAGAACCCCGGAGAGGGGAGUGAAAUAGAACCUGAAACCGUAUGCGUACAAGCAGUGGGAGCCCACUUUGUUGGGGUGACUGCGUACCUUUUGUAUAAUGGGUCAGCGACUUAUAUUCAGUGGCGAGCUUAACCGAAUAGGGGAGGCGUAGCGAAAGCGAGUCUUAAUAGGGCGCUUUAGUCGCUGGGUAUAGACCCGAAACCGGG